RNAcentral lists this ribosomal RNA (478 nucleotides) under uncultured bacterium. Its description in RNAcentral is "partial 16S ribosomal RNA". It matches the Rfam family "Bacterial small subunit ribosomal RNA", at positions 28 to 507 of the family's 1533-position model. The record is from RNAcentral.
GACGAACGCUGGCGGCGUGCUUAACACAUGCAAGUCGAACGUGAUUUUUGUGGAAAUUCUUUCGGGAAUGGAAAUGAAAUGAAAGUGGCGAACGGGUGAGUAACACGUGAGCAACCUACCUUACACAGGGGGAUAGCGGUGGGAAACGAGAAUUAAUACGCCUUGAAACCACAGAUUGGAAUGUAAUGGGGGUCAAAGAUUUAUCGGUGUAAGAAGGGCUCGCGUCUGAUUAGCUAGUUGGAAGGGUAAAGGCCUACCAAGGCGACGAUCAGUAGCCGGUCUGAGAGGAUGAACGGCCACAUUGGAACUGAGACACGGUCCAAACUCCUACGGGAGGCAGCAGUGGGGAAUAUUGCACAAUGGGGGGAACCCUGAUGCAGCGACGCCGCGUGAGCGAAGAAGGUUUUCGAAUCGUAAAGCUCUGUCCUAUGAGAAGAUAAUGACGGUAUCAUAGGAGGAAGCCCCGGCUAAAUACGUG